AGAGUUUGAUCCUGGCUCAGAUUGAACGCUGGCGGCGUGCUUUACACAUGCAAGUCGAACGGCAGCACGGACUUCGGUCUGGUGGCGAGUGGCGAACGGGUGAGUAAUACAUCGGAACGUACCUUUUAGUUGGGGAUAACGCAUCGAAAGAUGUGCUAAUACCGAAUAAUCUCUGAGGAGGAAAGGCGGGGAUCGGAAACGACCUGUCGCUGAAAGAGCGGCCGAUGGCCGAUUAGCUAGUUGGCGGGGUAAAAGCCCACCAAGGCGAUGAUCGGUAGCUGCUCUGAGAGGAAGAUCAGCCACACUGGGACUGAGACACGGCCCAGACUCCUACGGGAGGCAGCAGUGGGGAAUUUUGGACAAUGGGGGCAACCCUGAUCCAGCAACGCCGCGUGAAUGAAGAAGGCCUUAGGGUUGUAAAGUUCUUUUGUCGCACAGCAAAAUGCUUGUACUAAUACUAUGAGUAGAUGAGAGUAUGCGAAGAAUAAGCACCGGCUAACUACGUGCCAGCAGCCGCGGUAAUACGUAGGGUGCAAGCGUUAAUCGGAAUUACUGGGCGUAAAGCGUGCGCAGGCGGAUAUAUAAGUUAGAAG
Molecule: ribosomal RNA, 593 nt
Filed under: uncultured bacterium
Lineage: Bacteria
Description: bacterial SSU rRNA
Rfam family: Bacterial small subunit ribosomal RNA
Source: RNAcentral